This is a long non-coding RNA of Haplochromis burtoni (Burton's mouthbrooder), 1654 nucleotides long. RefSeq lists it as uncharacterized. Lineage: Eukaryota; Metazoa; Chordata; Actinopteri; Cichliformes; Cichlidae. The record is from RefSeq and is a predicted model, not a curated record. The transcript is spliced from 2 exons.
GCAAAGAGGAACACGGUGGCCUGCCGCUUGGACACACAGUGGGACAUGUUGGUGUGGUGAAGGGCUGACACUCGGAUGAGAUGUAAUUUAUGGCAAGUGUUGUGUGGUCAUAGGACAGUGACAGUGACGCGUCUGCUUAGAAGCACGAGAAUUGCGACCACUUGCCACGAAGAGCGGUAAAUAUAACAUAAAAGGUGAAUUAAUCAUUACUUUGAUUUUAAGGAGCUGCUCUCUUCGAAAUCCAUUGCCCAGUCCCGAUUUGUUCUGUUUCAUUAUGUACAGGAGUGUGUGUUUAUCGAGUACACUCCAAGCUUUUCUACUCAGAAAUGAAUCCAAGCAUCCUGGAACUCAAAUUCUUCUUCAGUGCUUUGUUUUGGAAAAAGUCUUUGGUAUGCUUUUGGGAAACUGGCAGCUAAUCUUUUCAUAGCUAGGGGUCAACAUAACACUCGGUUUUAAUAAAACAAAUAAGACUGGGAUGGAUAUUAAUGAUGAUAUAUACAGAUGUAGUGUGCAUGAGCUUGAAUUAUGUGUGAGAGCAUGCAGAAGGAGAGACACUCUCACACAUUUGUGUGUUUACUUGCCUGUGUGUGUGUGUGCGGCCGUGAGAUAGCCGAGUCAGUUUCCCUCAGAUGUUGCCUUUAACCUUUAACCCCAGAGCUGAGGUCAAGCCCUGACAAAUGAGAUGGUCGAGUUCUGGCCAGAUCUGCAAACAUUCCACAACAAUCUUCUGUCCUCCUCCUCUCCUCUCCUCUCCUCUCCUCAUAUCCGUCAUUCCUCACCCCUUCACUCCUCUCAGUGUGUCUCUUCUACGGCUUCGAGAGCGAGUCAAAGAAUGUUCUCACUGCACACAAACAUGUUUUAUUGUAUUUGCUGUGGGAAUCUUAAAGCACACACACCCUUCAAAUUAAGAAUUACAGCACUGGUUAAAUUUAAUACCUCUGACAUCUGCCGUGUUUACAGAAGGAAGGAAAACAAAAGAGUAUGAUCUGAGAGGAGAAGCUGCGGUAAAGAUUUGGAUAUUACAACCGUGCACUUUGAAAGCACACUGUGUGUGUUUGGAAAGUCUGUCAGUGAUGUCAAGGAUGAGAAAUGUUGCAGUGUGGUUUUUUACACACGCUGCUGGCUCUAGCAUUUCCGGCAACAUUUCUCACACUGCCUCCCUCACACCAUCCGCUCUGCUGCAAUAUCCCCACAUUUUUCCAUCCUUUCGAUUUUUCCCCCUCCCCUCCACUCCUCGUUUUCCAUCCCUUUACUCCCUUUACCCUUCCUCUUUGCUGCCCCACCCACUCCUAAUCUCAACCUCUCCCUUCCUUCUUCCUUCACCCUCCACAUUCACCCCCCUCCUUUUAUUCCUCCGCCCACAAUAUUUUUUCAGAUUUCUUUCUAACAUGCCGUUCCUCAGAAUGCUACCACCUGUGUCUUGAGGAAGAAAGGAGCCAACCACCCGCAUUCCUUUUACCAGGAGCUGGUAAAGAGUCACCAUCGAUGACUGUGCAGCCACAAUUGUUGCAAAGGAGCCUCGAGACCAACAAAGCUGGCUGAGACAGUAGCGCCGAAUGGAUCACGCUCUUGAAUUUGAUUUCAUAAUGAUGUAAGAUUACUAAGAGGCAAUGCAACACAGCAAAGAUCUUAAUAAAAAACACAUCAAUCUUGA